Molecule: ribosomal RNA, 727 nt
Filed under: Bacillus amyloliquefaciens
Lineage: Bacteria; Bacillati; Bacillota; Bacilli; Caryophanales; Bacillaceae
Description: bacterial SSU rRNA
Rfam family: Bacterial small subunit ribosomal RNA
Source: RNAcentral
CGAGCGGACAGAUGGGAGCUUGCUCCCUGAUGUUAGCGGCGGACGGGUGAGUAACACGUGGGUAACCUGCCUGUAAGACUGGGAUAACUCCGGGAAACCGGGGCUAAUACCGGAUGGUUGUUUGAACCGCAUGGUUCAGACAUAAAAGGUGGCUUCGGCUACCACUUACAGAUGGACCCGCGGCGCAUUAGCUAGUUGGUGAGGUAACGGCUCACCAAGGCGACGAUGCGUAGCCGACCUGAGAGGGUGAUCGGCCACACUGGGACUGAGACACGGCCCAGACUCCUACGGGAGGCAGCAGUAGGGAAUCUUCCGCAAUGGACGAAAGUCUGACGGAGCAACGCCGCGUGAGUGAUGAAGGUUUUCGGAUCGUAAAGCUCUGUUGUUAGGGAAGAACAAGUGCCGUUCAAAUAGGGCGGCACCUUGACGGUACCUAACCAGAAAGCCACGGCUAACUACGUGCCAGCAGCCGCGGUAAUACGUAGGUGGCAAGCGUUGUCCGGAAUUAUUGGGCGUAAAGGGCUCGCAGGCGGUUUCUUAAGUCUGAUGUGAAAGCCCCCGGCUCAACCGGGGAGGGUCAUUGGAAACUGGGGAACUUGAGUGCAGAAGAGGAGAGUGGAAUUCCACGUGUAGCGGUGAAAUGCGUAGAGAUGUGGAGGAACACCAGUGGCGAAGGCGACUCUCUGGUCUGUAACUGACGCUGAGGAGCGAAAGCGUGGGGAGCGAA